AUGAAACUGGGCGGCGGCCAGGCCUGCUGGCUUGUGACUCCCCGUCUGCCUGCUCACCGCUGGGCCCCAGGGCUCAGGUCUCUGCUAGGAACCAGCUCUGCCUCCGACCCGCACCAUCAGGACCUGCAGCUCUUGCUCCCUGGCAGGUGGAGGAUGCCGGGAGGGGCCCCUGUUGAGGGACGGGAACUACGAAGGCCCCGCACGGCUCAGCCCGCCUGGCAGCACCCUGAGACGCGAGCGUCUGCAGACAGCAGCUGCGCGGGGCUCAGAACAGCAAUGGCUGCAGAGCUCUCACACCUUCCUGCCUCCCCUCUGCCGCCACGUCUGCGUGGCUCAGCACGGCCAAGGAGAGUCCCUUUGGCUGGCCUCGGGGCCCUGGUUCCAAGAAGCUCUUGUGCUGCUUGGGCCGUGGCUGUGAAGGGCACGCCCUUUGCAAAGCAGAAGGUGACAUUUUUCUGGUGCACACGUAGGAGACUUCUGAGUUUUAUCUUCCUACGAGGCUUCUUCAUUGCGUGGGGAAACCCGAGCCGGCGAGCACACAGCAAGUGUGUGCUCUGUGCCGCCCCUGCUUGCUCCCGCUUGGUCAGCUCUGGGGCUGGUCAUCCAAGGCCAAGGGCAGGGUCAUCUAAUGCUAACUGGACUCUGAGGGGAGGCUGGCAUGUUCCAUUUGCACACACUGCCGUCACGCAUGGGCACCCUGGGUCAGGGAGAAGCCUAGUGGCCGGGCCCCCGCAAACUGCUGGGGCUCCCUGGGCCAUGCUGGGAAGCCCCUCUAACCAUCUGCUUUUCUCGCGCUCUCCUCUCUCCUCUCUCCACCUCUCCCCUCCCCAGCCCUCCCUUCUCUUCUUUCACCCCCCCUUCUCUCCUCCCCUCUUUCUCUCUCUCUGUCCCCCCCCCCCUCCUCUUCUUCCUAAGGCAGAGACCAUCUGCUGGCUCACUCCCCCCAGUGACCACAAUGGCCAGACCUGGGCCAGGCCAAAGCCAGGAGCCUGGAACUCCAUCCACGUCUCCCACCAUCUUCCGCUGCUUUCCCAGGCUCCUGAGCAGGGAUCUGGAUGGGAACUGGAGCCGCCAGGACAUGAACCAGUGCUCAUGUGGGAUGCUGGCAUUGCGGGCAGUGGCUUAACCCACUGGGCCACAGCGCCAGCCCCCAUCUAG
RNAcentral lists this long non-coding RNA (1158 nucleotides) under Oryctolagus cuniculus (rabbit). Its description in RNAcentral is "lncRNA (ENSOCUG00000035327.1)". The record is from RNAcentral. Lineage: Eukaryota; Metazoa; Chordata; Mammalia; Lagomorpha; Leporidae.